UCCCAUUUGUUGGCCAUGUUUUUCUUCUGC
Molecule: non-coding RNA, 30 nt
Filed under: Rattus norvegicus (Norway rat)
Lineage: Eukaryota; Metazoa; Chordata; Mammalia; Rodentia; Muridae
Source: RNAcentral